CUUUUUUCUACCCCCUUUUGAAUUAUUAAUAAAGAACUGGGGCAAGAGAAAGGCUACAGAACAUGUGAAGAGUAAAUGAGAGAGAGCAUGAGGGAGUGAAUGAGAGAGUAAAUGACAGAGCGAAUGUAAGAACAAAUGUGAGAGCAAAUGAGAGAGCAUGAGAAGAGCACGUGAAGAGUGAGUGGAGAGAGAAAGUGAUAGUGAAUGAGGGAGCUAAUGAGAGAGCGAGUCUGAGAACAAACGUGAGAGCCAGGGAGAGAGCAUGGGGAGAGCAUGUGAGAAUGAGUGAGGAGAGAACGUGAGGUGUGUGUGAAGACUGUGUGUGUGCGUGACAGGAGAGUGCAUGUGCUGUGUGUGAGAUAUGUGUGAGGUGUGUAUGAAGAGUGUGUGUGUGCGUGACAGGAGAGUGCAUGUGCUGUGUGUGAGAUAUGUAUGAGGUGUGUGUGAAGACUGUGUGUGUGCGUGACAGGAGAGUGCAUGUGGUGUGUGUGAGAUGUGUGAGGUGUGUGUGAAGACUGUGUGUGUGCGUGACAGGAGAGUGCAUGUGCUGUGUGUGAGAUAUGUGUGAGGUGUGUAUGAAGAGUGUGUGUGUGUGUGACAGGAGAGUGCAUGUGGUGUGUGUGAGAUGUGUAUGAGGUGUGUAUGAAGAGUGUGUGUGUGCGUGACAGGAGAGUGCAUGUGGUGUGUGUGAGAUAUGUAUGAGGUGUGUAUGAAGAGUGUGUGUGUGCGUGACAGGAGAGUGCAUGUGGUGUGUGUGAGAUAUGUAUGAGGUGUGUAUGAAGAUUGUGUGUGUGCGUGACAGGAGAGUGCAUGUGGUGUGUGUGAGAUGUGUAUGAGGUGUGUAUGAAGAGUGUGUGUGUGCGUGACAGGAGAGUGCAUGUGGUGUGUGUCAGAUAUGUAUGAGGUGUGUGUGAAGACUGUGUGUGUGUGUGACAGGAGAGUACAUGUGGUGUGUGUGAGAUAUGUGUGAGCUGUGUAUGAAGAUUGUGUGUGUGCGUGACAGGAGAGUGCAUGUGUUGUGUGUGAGAUAUGUAUGAGGUGUGUAUGAAGAGUGUGUGUGUGCGUGACAGGAGAGUGCAUGUGGUGUGUGUGAGAUAUGUAUGAGGUGUGUAUGAAGAGUGUGUGUGUGCGUGACAGGAGAGUGCAUGUGGUGUGUGUGAGAUAUGUGUGAGGUGUGUAUGAAGACUGUGUGUGUGCGUGACAGGAGAGUGCAUGUGGUGUGUGUGAGAUGUGUGAGGUGUGUGUGAAGAGUGUGUGUGUGCGUGACAGGAGAGUGCAUGUGCUGUGUGUGAGAUAUGUAUGAGGUGUGGAUUCGAAAAAUGUGGUACAUCUACACAAUGGAGUACCACUCAGCUAUCAAAAACAAUGACUACG
Long non-coding RNA from Rattus norvegicus (Norway rat), 1374 nucleotides. The record is from Ensembl. Lineage: Eukaryota; Metazoa; Chordata; Mammalia; Rodentia; Muridae.